UAUGCCUUGUCUCAGUCGUAACAAGGUUUCACUGUAGUCAUAUGCUUGUCUCAAGUCGUAACAAGGUUUCACUGUAUUAAUAUGGUUGUUCUAGAGCUAAUACAUGCUGAAAAUCCCGACUUCGGAAGGGAUGUAUUUAUUAGAUUAAAAACCAAUGCCCCUCGGGGCUCUCUGGUGAAUCAUGAUAACUAGUCGAAUCGACAGGCCUUGUGCCGGCGAUGGCUCAUUCAAAUUUCUUCCCUAUCAACUUUCGAUGUUUGGGUAUUGGCCAAACAUGGUGGCAACGGGUAACGGAGGGUUAGGGCUCGACCCCGGAGAAGGAGCCUGAGAAACGGCUACUACAUCCAAGGAAGGCAGCAGGCGCGCAAAUUACCCAAUCCCGACACGGGGAGGUAGUGACAAUAAAUACUGAUACAGGGCUCUUUUGGGUCUUGUAAUCGGAAUGAGUACAAUUUAAAUCCCUUAACGAGGAACAAUUGGAGGGCAAGUCUGGUGCCAGCAGCCGCGGUAAUUCCAGCUCCAAUAGCGUAUAUUAAAGUUGUUGUGGUUAAAAAGCUCGUAGUUGAACCUUGGGCCUGGCUGGCCGGUCCGCCUCACCGCGUGCACUGGUCCGGCCGGGCCUUUCCCUCUGCGGAACCCCAUGCCCUUCACUGGGUGUGGCGGGGAAACAGGACUUUUACUUUGAAAAAAAUUAGAGUGCUCAAGGCAGGCCUAUGCUCGAAAUACAUUAGCAUGGAAUAAUAGAAUAGGACGUGUGGUUCUAUUUUGUUGGUUUCUAGACCGCCGUAA
This 789-nucleotide ribosomal RNA is filed under the name Trichoderma reesei. Its description in RNAcentral is "SSU rRNA". It matches the Rfam family "Eukaryotic small subunit ribosomal RNA", at positions 111 to 865 of the family's 1831-position model. The record is from RNAcentral. Lineage: Eukaryota; Fungi; Ascomycota; Sordariomycetes; Hypocreales; Hypocreaceae.